Molecule: ribosomal RNA, 253 nt
Filed under: uncultured bacterium
Lineage: Bacteria
Description: partial 16S ribosomal RNA
Rfam family: Bacterial small subunit ribosomal RNA
Source: RNAcentral
UACGAAGGGGGCGAGCGUUGUUCGGAUUUACUGGGCGUAAAGGGCGCGCAGGCGGCUCAUUUUGUCAGGCGUGAAAGCCCCGGGCUUAACCUGGGAGGUGCGUUUGAUACGGAUGGGCUGGAGUUCGGGGGAGGAGAGCGGAAUUCCCAGUGUAGAGGUGAAAUUCGUAGAUAUUGGGAAGAACACCGGUGGCGAAGGCGGCUCUCUGGACCGAGACUGACGCUGAGGCGCGAAAGCGUGGGGAGCAAACAGG